Molecule: ribosomal RNA, 783 nt
Filed under: Triticum aestivum (bread wheat)
Lineage: Eukaryota; Viridiplantae; Streptophyta; Magnoliopsida; Poales; Poaceae
Description: partial small subunit ribosomal RNA
Source: RNAcentral
AUGAGCUCGGGCGGCGGCAGCAGCACGCUUGGCGGCUGCGGCGGGCCGAGCGGGAGCGGCAGCGGCAGCGGAGGAGGAGGUGGAGGAGGAGGGCUUGGCGGCGGCGGCGGCGGGCCGUGCGGCGCGUGCAAGUUCCUCCGGCGCAAGUGCGUGAGCGAGUGCAUCUUCGCGCCCUACUUCGACUCGGAGCAAGGCGCGGCGCACUUCGCGGCGGUGCACAAGGUGUUCGGCGCCAGCAACGUGUCCAAGCUGCUCCUCCAGAUCCCCGCGCACAAGCGCCUCGACGCCGUCGUCACCAUCUGCUACGAGGCGCAGGCCCGCCUCCGCGACCCCGUCUACGGCUGCGUCGCCCACAUCUUCGCGCUCCAGCAGCAGGUGGUGAAUCUCCAGGCCGAGCUGACCUACCUGCAGACCCACCUGGCCACACUGGAGCUGCCGUCGCCGCCGCUGCCGGCUGCGCCGCAAAUGCCGAUGGCGAUGCCGGCCCAGUUUUCCAUCUCGGACCUGCCGUCCACGACCAACAUUCCGACCACCAUCGACCUGUCCGCGCUCUUCGAACCGCCGGCGCAACCGCAGUGGGCGCUCCAGCAGCAUCACCAGCACCAGCUCCGCCAGCAGCCGUCAUACGGCGCCAUGGCGCACAGGGGCGGCUCCAGCAGCAUGGCGGAGGGAUCGGUGGGCAGCGGCGACCUGCAGACGCUGGCGCGGGAGCUCCUGGACCGCCACGGCCGGUCCGGCGUGAAGCCCGAGCUGCAGCCACCGCCGCCGCCGCAUCCAAGAUGA